GAUGAACGCUGGCGGCGUGCCUAAUACAUGCAAGUCGAGCGAACAGAUAAGGAGCUUGCUCCUUUGACGUUAGCGGCGGACGGGUGAGUAACACGUGGGGAACCUACCUAUAAGACUGGGAUAACUUCGGGAAACCGGAGCUAAUACCGGAUAACAUUUGGAACCGCAUGGUUCUAAAGUGAAAGAUGGUUUUGCUAUCACUUAUAGAUGGACCCGCGCCGUAUUAGCUAGUUGGUAAGGUAACGGCUUACCAAGGCAACGAUACGUAGCCGACCUGAGAGGGUGAUCGGCCACACUGGAAGUGAGACACGGUCCAGACUCCUACGGGAGGCAGCAGUAGGGAAUCUUCCGCAAUGGGCGAAAGCCUGACGGAGCAACGCCGCGUGAGUGAUGAAGGGUUUCGGCUCGUAAAACUCUGUUAUUAGGGAAGAACAAAUGUGUAAGUAACUGUGCACGUCUUGACGGUACCUAAUCAGAAAGCCACGGCUAACUACGUG
This 497-nucleotide ribosomal RNA is filed under the name uncultured bacterium. RNAcentral describes it as "partial 16S ribosomal RNA". It matches the Rfam family "Bacterial small subunit ribosomal RNA", at positions 28 to 507 of the family's 1533-position model. The record is from RNAcentral.